RNAcentral lists this ribosomal RNA (484 nucleotides) under uncultured bacterium. Its description in RNAcentral is "partial 16S ribosomal RNA". It matches the Rfam family "Bacterial small subunit ribosomal RNA", at positions 30 to 507 of the family's 1533-position model. The record is from RNAcentral.
AUUGAACGCUGGCGGAAUGCUUUACACAUGCGAGUCGAGCGGCAGCACGGGGGUAACCCUGGUGGCGAGCGGCGAACGGGUGAGUAAUACAUCGGAACAUGCCCAGUCGUGGGGGAUAACACUUCGAAAGAAGUGCUAAUACCGCAUACGUCCUGAGGGAGAAAGCGGGGGAUCGCAAGACCUCGCGCGAUUGGAGUGGCCGAUGUCAGAUUAGCUAGUUGGUGGGGUAAAGGCCUACCAAGGCAACGAUCUGUAGCUGGUCUGAGAGGAUGAUCAGCCACACUGGGACUGAGACACGGCCCAGACUCCUACGGGAGGCAGCAGUGGGGAAUUUUGGACAAUGGGGGCAACCCUGAUCCAGCCAUUCCGCGUGAGUGAAGAAGGCCUUCGGGUUGUAAAGCUCUUUCGGCAGGAACGAAACGGUGAGCUCUAACAUAGCUUGCUAAUGACGGUACCUGAAGAAGAAGCACCGGCUAACUACGUG